This 513-nucleotide ribosomal RNA is filed under the name bacterium enrichment culture clone ALO1_GLFRUDD03FPEND. RNAcentral's name for it is "bacterial SSU rRNA". It matches the Rfam family "Bacterial small subunit ribosomal RNA", at positions 9 to 517 of the family's 1533-position model. The record is from RNAcentral.
GAGUUUGAUCCUGGCUCAGAUUGAACGCUGGCGGCAGGCCUAACACAUGCAAGUCGAGCGGAUGACGGGAGCUUGCUCCUUGAUUCAGCGGCGGACGGGUGAGUAAUGCCUAGGAAUCUGCCUGGUAGUGGGGGACAACGUUUCGAAAGGAACGCUAAUACCGCAUACGUCCUACGGGAGAAAGCAGGGGACCUUCGGGCCUUGCGCUAUCAGAUGAGCCUAGGUCGGAUUAGCUAGUUGGUGGGGUAAUGGCUCACCAAGGCGACGAUCCGUAACUGGUCUGAGAGGAUGAUCAGUCACACUGGAACUGAGACACGGUCCAGACUCCUACGGGAGGCAGCAGUGGGGAAUAUUGGACGAUGGGCGAAAGCCUGAUCCAGCCAUGCCGCGUGUGUGAAGAAGGUCUUCGGAUUGUAAAGCACUUUAAGUUGGGAGGAAGGGCAGUAAGUUAAUACCUUGCUGUUUUGACGUUACCGACAGAAUAAGCACCGGCUAACUCUGUGCCAGCCGCCG